AGAGUCGUUAUACGUCGACGCGUUAAAGCUGCUUUAAAGCGUAAGCAUUCCGUUGUUCCGAGUCUCAGCCAACCGAACGCAAAUUCCAGAUUGAUAAUUCCCGAUGAGCUAAUUAAGGCGCAAGUGAUUUUCGCACAGCACAACCGCAGCCAAACUCUUCGAUCGAUCUCGAACUCGUCGUCGGCAAUUUGUAAUAACGCUAAAGACGAGGAAAUGGGAAACGGGGACGAUAAUUAAGAUCAACGGACCCUGACUCCGCACGCCAAAUGGAGGAAGACCGACCAUUGCGAACGGAUUGAGAUCUCGCGAAUACGGAUUUUCAUCGAAAAGGCUUGCAAGCGAAGCAGCCGAGGGAUGUGAGGAAAUUACAGCAACAGCUGACGCCGCGUCGAAUCAUGAAGAUGAGAGAGCUGAAAGAUCUACGAUGUAUAAUAUCUGUACGCGUAAACUUUAAACGUUCGUGCUAUAUAUCUGUCGUAUAUAUGCAGUGGUAAUAGCGUAGGUACAGUGGAAAAUGGCGAACGUUGAAAGCAGCAGCCAGAACUUUUCCUCUAAAGCUGCAGCGGCGCCGCCGCUUAUCUGCAUACGCGUAAAAUGGCCAUUCUCGCCGAGGAAUAUACGUAUUUAAGGGCACAAUCUCUGGGUUCGAAGAGCUGCGCUUAGUCCCCCGUAAAAUAUAAAUCGCCAGCUAUUUCGAUGGUGCAAGGCUGAAUAACGGUCCGCGAUAAAUUGAAAGUCGAAUUUGACGGUAAUCGAGGACACGGGAGGCAGGCCUCAAGCGUUAAUCUCGAAACCAAUUUCACCCUCAAUGCUCCGUUCACCUCGUCGAAUUGCGAAUUGUCCCGCACUCGCCAGCCAACCCGUUGAUUAUUCUUUACCUUCGAUGUGCACAAUUUCGACAUUCAACCUUCCGUUUGCACUCAGAUUCGCUACGUUCGCUGCUUACGGUUCAGUCAUGCUCGACAUCAAAGCACUCUCCAGAGGGACGCGAAAGCGCACCGGAAGUACUCCUCUCCUUACUCCCCGCCUUCCGCGUCGCCUAUAAUAAACACACGCAAACACAGGCAAACGCGCAGAUAUCACGUACGACUUGUAACGCGCAGACACUUGCGAACCAAUGGGAAAGCCACCUCCGUGACUUUUCUCCACGCCGAGUGUAUGGUGAGACAAUGGUAUAUUGUGUGACAAGGGAGGAAAGCUGACGGUUGCGACGAGUGUGAAAUGCGCGCCUCAAACGAUCACACGAGUUGAGAUCCCCAACUUUUGCCACCGAGUCACACGGGACAGUUUUUAUAACAAACGAAUGAAACGAGUGGUCAGGCUUUGCGCGGCAGUUUUGCGGAAUGCGAGUGGUCAAUUUCUCCUCCCUAGGGACGAAAGUAAAGCAAUUGUUGACUGUGCUUGCGCGAACCUAUAUUUACAACUCUAAGACGAAAUUGACUAACUUCAUUUCGCUGGUUUGCUACGCAAAACCUCACUUUUCAUGCACGUGUGAUAAAAAAAAACCUUGUUCCAACUUUGUUCCACUCUGAACUUCCAUUCGUCGGUACUUCGAUGUUUGAAGAAAAUUCGCCGAAAAUCUUUUCCAUUUAUUCAAUCCGGAGACACUAUACAUAUUUGUUCGACUGCAAAGCUGUUGCACUUAUUUAUCUCCUUUGUACAACUUGCUCGUCGAGUAAGUUGCGGCCAGGCGAAUGGCUAUAGUAAUACCUACCGACGAGUGAUCGGCACCACCGACACGUGAUAUGAGCAAUGGUGAUCAUUGCGGGUAGACGCUAAUUCGGUUAAAGUCCCAUGUCGUUUUUAGAGCAUUAAAGCGCAAACCAGAUCCAGGGGGAUGUGACGCUAGGAGGUGAAGGUAAGUUGUCUGGUUACACGCGAGGGUGAGUGCGCAUUCAGGAGGAAAUCGGGCGUGCAAAUUGAUCCGCGUGUCGGAGGUGGGGCGAUGAGUUGAGUCAAUCCCUGCGUAAAGUGAUCCUCUGAGGAUUUAUUUUUAAUUUAAAAGUUAAAGUAAUAUUAUCACCCUGAUACUGCGGAUGGAGAGCGAGAGAGAAAGAGGCGAAUCCUGCUCGCAGACGCAAAAGUGGAGUUAUACAUUGGUGUACAAAUUUUUUGCGAUAUUAUCGAAGGGUUUUAAUGAACACGGCGUAAUUUAUAUUACAUGUGAAUAGAAAAGACGCAUUUCGUCGUGACUGCGGCGCAAAAAGGCAUCGUCUCGCCGAGAUACGUGUAUUAUGAAAGCAGCAAAGCGACUUAUUCAUGCCUUUUUGAACAGCCGCAUUUAUACGAUACGCUUCUUCUGUCUCUCCCGUUUAGAUAGGUACAGAUUUUUCAUUAAACCUGUCGUCUGUUGUUUCAUAUACUUUUAACGUCAAACGAUAAGAUCGUGAGAAUCGCUCGCUAAUCGUAAGGCGAAUCCGACUUUAUUACUGCUCGUACAGCGCUAUAAGAAAAAUAACACAGUUUAAUUAUUUACUGACGGCGUUGUGAAUGUAUAGAGAAACUUCUUAACCCUAGGUUGCAGUACGGCAAGAAAAGCCUCGGAUAUACAUACAUUAAAGCGUUUAGUACGGUCGUUGGAGAAAGUUUGAGGUACUUCAAAUUCAUAAAUCAUCGAGUUCUAAAGUGCUGAAGUACCUUCCGCGAGGGCGGAAGCGUACGGCUUCCGUACCAAAAAAGCUUUUAAAGAAGUAAUUGGCUGAGUGAACAAGCACCCCUUCACGUGUGCCAGUUGCCAAUCAUCCGCAAUUUUAAAACCGUGGGAAACACGCGUUUCGAAUAAAUAAUAAACUUGUAUUAUUAAGUGAUCGGAAUUCGUUGGAUUUUUACUGUAUUCAUAUUUUCAUUCAAUGGGAUGGAUGUUUCCUAUCUAAUUUCGAUUGAAAGCUCAUUUUUUCCCGUCCCUAUUACAUGCUAGUUAACAAAUCAGCCUUUUCAUACUUUGCCGAUUUUCAAACGAUUAGAAUGACCAAGAAGAACGGAAAAAUAACGAGUAUCCCAUAAAUAGAAGGUAUCUUUCAUUCCGACCAACUAAGAAGCUUCCACAAAGUUUUUUUGAGCCAUACGUUAAAUUCUUUGCGAAAAUACAGAAUCCACGCAUGCAUGUGUGCAUGAAAAUUCCGAGCGAGUCGAACAAUUUUCAACAUCCAUCGGUUCCAUCAGCGAUGCAGCCGGUGAGCUCGCCAGUUUAAUGUAACCUAAUUUUUUGAAAGCUUUUUUAGCACCGUAUCGUCUUAUCCGAAAGUUAUAUAUCCCGAACACAUGGCAAUGAAUCUAUAAUAUUCUAGGUAGAAGCUGUCCUCGGCGAUACACUUGUCUACGUAAAAGCUAAAAUACUUACCAUUUUGCAUGCACGUAGUUCCACGUGUACAUUGUACCGAACGAAGCGAUAGUUGGCGAUAACUUUCCGGGUCAAUAUUCAUUCGUUACAAAUUAACUGGCGAUGCUUUCACAAACGAAAACGAGUUAAUAUUUUCAGCCUCUGCAUCGCUCUGUAUUAAAUUACGAUUCACGUAGUAGACACGUAAUUAAACUAACUUCUGUCGUCAGUUAAUUUACGGUAACUUUUGUAUUCGCCAAUAAUUAGUUUAGUUUACGACUCUGGCGUACACUGUGCGGAUGAUACUUAAAUUUGCUUGUUCCAGUUGUUUCAUUUUUCAAUUCCGAAUAAACGAAAGCGAGCGAAUGAAGAACUUUACGACGAGUCUGAGCUUGAUGUUACAGGUAAAAAGUGCGAUGAACCAGGACACGUAGCCCCUUGCAUCGGAAGCAGUAUCAACGUCCCGGUGUAUGAGAAUUACGAUACCGCAGCGCAGGGUCGGAAGUGAAGUCGAGUAAUAUUGUUUCAGUGUCUCCCGGGGCUUGCAUCAAUCCGGCGGUCGCUGAUCGAAUCUCUUACUCUUCGUAUUUUCCGGAGAGAGAGAGGGAAUCUCGCCUCGAAAGACGGUGAAAUAACAGUUGAGAAGAAAACAUCGGAGACGCACAAAGCAAUGCGGAUUCAGACCAGUAUCACUGCGCCAUAGUUUAAUUUUCUUCCUUCGGCAACGUGACCACAUCGACCGUUAACCAGAGCAUCCUUGGUUGCCAUCGCUAGCGCUUGACCUCAUCAAAGAAUCUUAGAAAUCAGGCUGACUUGGAGAGUCGCUGCGAUAAACGAUGGCUUCGGAAAACUAUGUACGCUUUCACCCCGUGAAUAUGACCCAAGGCAACAAGAACUGCUCGGAUACGGUUGCUUUUGUCGCCGCAACUGAUGCGGGCUGUUUAAUUAGAAUUAGGCGGUGAAAAGGAAGCAAAAAGGUAACGAGGUGGGAUCAAUUUAAGAGAGCAGCGUAUCGAUUGCUCUUGAAAUUCCGUGUAACUUACUGCAGGUCAGAAGCUCACCUAUACGCAAUCUAACCCUGUCGUUAUUCUAACGAUUUCAUCGUUCGCCUGACAAAAAGGAAGCAUCCGUCGGCCUGGAAGGAAAAGAACUUCCUAGAGUCACUUCCUAUUGAAAUUGCUUUUCUAAUCAACUUCCAAUAUGUAUGUCCCAGUGGUCUUUCAAUUCCCUGCGCACUCUCAUUCUAUGAAGCGAUUGAAAGAACCAUUAUACGAGGCUCUCGAAUUGCAUUCGAUGAAUUACUAAUCUACCAUUAAUUCUACCUUCCGAGUGAUGGAACCGAAUAGAAACGAAGGAAAAGAAGACGGGUAAUUAUCGGGGGAAGAAAAUAGUGAAUCAAAGAUCCCAAUCUAAAUUUACUCACUUGCGAACACAUUGUAGAAUGAUAGCAAAGUCUUCCAAGUCUGACGGAAGGGGGGGGGGGCGAGGCAAGAAUAGCAGAAAUUUUUUUCACCAAAUUCAAUUCCAGCCUUCACUAAAUAUAUAUGUAUAUUUGCGUACCUACUUUGGCCAUUUUUAUUGCCGGUAUUUUGCAUACCAUCAGAAAUUCUGCAGACAGUGCUUCGCAUACACGAUUAAACGCUGUCACUCUUGCCUGCUUCACAAUGCGAGAAAUAAUUAAUCAAGAUGCUAAUUUUCAUAUUCAUUUUAUCUAUCUCUUUUCCUCUUCAUUGUCAUAUCCUUCGAUAUUACUUCAUUUCGCGACACUUUCUGACGCAGAACGAGCAAUAUUUCCAAGGGACUGUAAUCGUGAUUAAUCAAUCUGUAACUUGUAAAUCCAACACCGCGACACGCAGGGGUGAGCAAAGCGUAAACACGUCAUCGACAGUGGUGCGAACCGAUCUGGUAAAGGUGAAGAAUCGAUAAGCUUGAUUCUCGUAUCUAUAUUAGAUACAGGUAAUUAUAAUAAUCUUUCUUUUAUUUUUCUGGAGUGAACGAGGGUUUUAGUGUGUAUCUGCUUAAGUUACGUAAUUAGUUACGUUACGUAGUAAGUUGAAAACAAGUGAAAAAAAAACUAUCCGAUAUGGAAAAUUUAUGACAUAGACUUCUCGGCGUAUGUACCUUCAGGUCGCAAUAAAUCGGAGCUGAGCUACCCGCUAUGAUUUCAUGACUGACGGAUGAGAGAAAGUGUAAUAUCAAUAAAUUGAAUCGUCU
This 5533-nucleotide long non-coding RNA is filed under the name Neodiprion lecontei (redheaded pine sawfly). Its description in RNAcentral is "uncharacterized LOC124294023". Lineage: Eukaryota; Metazoa; Arthropoda; Insecta; Hymenoptera; Diprionidae. The record is from RNAcentral.